This 467-nucleotide ribosomal RNA is filed under the name uncultured bacterium. RNAcentral's name for it is "partial 16S ribosomal RNA". It matches the Rfam family "Bacterial small subunit ribosomal RNA", at positions 28 to 507 of the family's 1533-position model. The record is from RNAcentral.
GAUGAACGCUGGCGGCGUGCUUAACACAUGCAAGUCGAACGGUGAAGCAGAGCUUGCUCUGUGGAUCAGUGGCGAACGGGUGAGUAACACGUGAGCAACCUGCCCCUGACUCCGGGAUAAGCGCUGGAAACGGCGUCUAAUACUGGAUAUGAGCUGCGACCGCAUGGUCAGCAGUUGGAAAGAUUUUUCGGUCUGGGAUGGGCUCACGGCCUAUCAGCUUGUUGGUGAGGUAAUGGCUCACCAAGGCGUCGACGGGUAGCCGGCCUGAGAGGGUGACCGGCCACACUGGGACUGAGACACGGCCCAGACUCCUACGGGAGGCAGCAGUGGGGAAUAUUGCACAAUGGGCGAAAGCCUGAUGCAGCAACGCCGCGUGAGGGAUGACGGCCUUCGGGUUGUAAACCUCUUUUAGCAGGGAAGAAGCGAAAGCGACGGUACCUGCAGAAAAAGCGCCGGCUAACUACGUG